Molecule: ribosomal RNA, 550 nt
Filed under: uncultured bacterium
Lineage: Bacteria
Description: bacterial SSU rRNA
Rfam family: Bacterial small subunit ribosomal RNA
Source: RNAcentral
ACAAGCGGUGGAGCAUGUGGUUUAAUUCGAUGCAACGCGCAGAACCUACCUGGGCUUGAACUGUGAGGGACAACUCCCGAAAAGGAGCCUUUUCUUCGGAAACCGUCACAGAGGUGCUGCAUGGCUGUCGUCAGCUCGUGUCGUGAGAUGUUGGGUUAAGUCCCGCAAACGAGCGCAACCCCUACCCUUAGUUGCCAGCGGAUCAUGCCGGGAACUCUAGGGGGACUGCCCCGGAAAUCGGGGAGGAAGGUGGGGAUGACGUCAAGUCCUCAUGGCCUUUAUGUCCAGGGCUACACACGUGCUACAAUGGGCGGUACAAAGGGUUGCGAAGCUGUGAAGUGGAGCUAAUCCCACAAAACCGUCCUCAGUUCGGAUUGCAGUCUGCAACUCGACUGCAUGAAGUUGGAAUCGCUAGUAAUCCCGGAUCAGCAUGCCGGGGUGAAUACGUUCCCGGGCCUUGUACACACCGCCCGUCACAUCACGAAAGUCGGCUGUACCGAAGCCGGUGGGCUAACCCGCAAGGAAGCAGCUGUCCAUGUAUGUCGCGUGG